Long non-coding RNA from Phycodurus eques (leafy seadragon), 893 nucleotides. RefSeq lists it as uncharacterized. Lineage: Eukaryota; Metazoa; Chordata; Actinopteri; Syngnathiformes; Syngnathidae. The transcript is spliced from 7 exons. The record is from RefSeq and is a predicted model, not a curated record.
AAUAGUUUUGCAGCAGCGUCAGUCGUUCCUUUGGUCUCGGGCUUGGCAGGGACCGACUUCAGACCAGUUGGAGUCGGGUUGCAAGCAAGUUCCCUGAAGCUGAGGUCGUCCCAUUCCAAGUCGACUGCCACACGUUUGUUCACAUUGUGGGGGAUGGUCCUGUGCAGUGGGCUCUUCUUCCCAUGGGAGCUGUGGCCACAUUACAUCAAGUUUUGCUUUCACCUCAGCACGACUGGUUGCUGCACGGUGUCAAUGAGGCCUGAUACAUUACGAGUCUCUUAUUUAUAGGAUGGGCUCUCAUUGCUUUUGCGGCUGGCGAUUGAACCUGGGAUGUGAGGUACAGAAGCGGACCCUUGGCCAGCUGGGAGUCGCCUGCUCUGAACCUCGGCCUCCCUGACCCUUCGCCUCCCUGACCCAACACGCAACAUAAAUGUUGGGAUGAAGCUGUAGUCUUCGAGCAGGCAUUGCUCAGGCCAUUACGUUCCUUGCCUUGUGUUUGGGGCCUCACGGGUGACGGACGCGACUUCUGAACUUGCAUCAGUGCCACGUUGACCGAUUUGCUUGUUCCAGAAGUGUCUUGAACAUAAAACGACAAUGUUUGUAAGUAAUAAUGAUUUUUAAAUAACUGGGUAUAUUGGUCAUAUACCAAGGCUUUCAGGUAGUUCUGUUCCUGACUUGCUGUGGACUUGACCAGAAAUAAAAUCCAUCCCAGUGGGCUUCUGCAGCAGUCUGCUGAGAAGACUUGUUGGGAACACGAUGUUAAAUGGCUUUUUAUCUGUUUAGUGGAGUUCUGAUUUUGUUUUUAAACUUGACAGGCCCCGUGAUGGACGUGAAGGGUUGUCAUUGAUCUGCUUUUGGUUUGUAAGCAACUAAUAAAACUUUUUUAGAAACUG